GAAUUCACUAGUGAUUCAGGCCUAACACAUGCAAGUCGAGCGAACCACUUCGGUGGUGAGCGGCGAACGGGUGAGUAACACGUAGGUGAUCUGCCCAUCAGACGGGGACAACGAUUGGAAACGAUCGCUAAUACCGGAUAGGACGAAAGUUUAAAGGUGCUCCUGGCACCGCUGAUGGAUGAGCCUGCGGCGCAUUAGCUAGUUGGUAGGGUAAAGGCCUACCAAGGCGACGAUGCGUAGCCGACCUGAGAGGGUGAACGGCCACACUGGGACUGAGACACGGCCCAGACUCCUACGGGAGGCAGCAGUGGGGAAUAUUGCACGAGGGGCGAAAGCCUGAUGCAGCAACGCCGC
RNAcentral lists this ribosomal RNA (354 nucleotides) under uncultured bacterium. RNAcentral's name for it is "bacterial SSU rRNA". It matches the Rfam family "Bacterial small subunit ribosomal RNA", at positions 46 to 392 of the family's 1533-position model. The record is from RNAcentral.